UGUCUCAGUGUUUGUUUCCCAGGCAACCUGAUGUAAGAAGUGAUGAAAGUCAAACAAACAACCGUAAAUCUGUACAAUGAAACGUAUGACAGGAAAGCAACAGUGCCACUGAGCGCAGUAAGAGCAUUCAACCCAGACCUGAUGGGUUGUGAAGAUGCAAAGAGAAGGGUCAGGGCAUUACCUCCUCAGUGGGAGAAUGCAAGACCCAGGUGACCCCAGAAGCAGCUGACUUGCUCACAGCCUGGUGACGCCAGUGGUGACAUCCAUGACUGCAACAGCACUUUAAGCAGAGUAGAUACUCACCUAUGGGCCACACCAGGCAACAAUUUAAUCUUCACCCUCAGUCAUUGCUUCUGACUUGUGGAGUGCAAACAUCUAUUUCACACAACUAAAUUAUUAUACGUGACCAUGUGAGUGAGUCCUGACCAGCUACGAAAGGAAGGUAUUAACAUGCACAUCUCCCCAGUCCGGCCCAGGGGGUAUUAAGGAUGGCAACGCUGUUUUUAAGGACACGGAUUACUAACUGCCUUUGAAUAUAGUUCAGAAACUCUGAAGAUUCUGGUCUACUAAGAGAUACUGUUCUCAGACACAAAAACUGGUGCUGUUGUUGCCUAAUGUCCAACCUGGCAGCCACAGAG
This 638-nucleotide long non-coding RNA is filed under the name Equus caballus (horse). RNAcentral describes it as "lncRNA (ENSECAG00000054090.1)". Lineage: Eukaryota; Metazoa; Chordata; Mammalia; Perissodactyla; Equidae. The record is from RNAcentral.